RNAcentral lists this ribosomal RNA (694 nucleotides) under uncultured bacterium. Its description in RNAcentral is "bacterial SSU rRNA". It matches the Rfam family "Bacterial small subunit ribosomal RNA", at positions 32 to 715 of the family's 1533-position model. The record is from RNAcentral.
AACGCUAGCUACAGGCUUAACGCAUGCAAGUCGCGGGGCAGCAUUUCCUUAGCUUGCUAAGGGAGAUGGCGACCGGCGCACGGGUGAGUAACGCGUAUCCAAUCUUCCCAUGUCCACGGGAUAGCCCGUCGAAAGGCGGAUUAAUACCGUAUGAGGUCACAAGCGGGCAUCUAAUUGUGACGAAAGGUUUGGCGGACAUGGAUGGGGAUGCGUCCGAUUAGAUAGUAGGCGGGGUAACGGCCCACCUAGUCAGCGAUGGAUAGGGGUUCUGAGAGGAAGGUCCCCCACAUUGGAACUGAGACACGGUCCAAACUCCUACGGGAGGCAGCAGUGAGGAAUAUUGGUCAAUGGGCGAGAGCCUGAACCAGCCAAGUAGCGUGCAGGACGACGGCCCUAUGGGUUGUAAACUGCUUUUAUACGGGGGUAAAGUCAUCCACGUGUGGAUGUUUGCAAGUACCGUAAGAAAAAGGAUCGGCUAAUUCCGUGCCAGCAGCCGCGGUAAUACGGAGGAUCCGAGCGUUAUCCGGAUUUAUUGGGUUUAAAGGGUGCGUAGGUGGUUUGAUAAGUCAGCGGUGAAAGUUUGCAGCUUAACUGUAAAAAUGCCGUUGAAACUGUCGGACUUGAGUGUAAAUGAGGUAGGCGGAAUGCGUGGUGUAGCGGUGAAAUGCAUAGAUAUCACGAAGAACUCCGAUUG